Molecule: long non-coding RNA, 212 nt
Filed under: Hordeum vulgare
Lineage: Eukaryota; Viridiplantae; Streptophyta; Magnoliopsida; Poales; Poaceae
Description: long non-coding RNA (HVUL_LNC021156)
Source: RNAcentral
UUGGCUUACACUCGCCACAAGCUACAUCAGAGUCACAUCAGUACAUUACAUAAUCAUCAAGAGUAAGAGCAGGGUCCGACUACGGACGAAAACAAACGACAAAAGAAGAACGACGUCCAUCCUUGCUAUCCCAAGCUGCCGGCCUGGAACCCAUCCUAGAUCGAUGAAGAAGAAGAAGAAGAAGAAGCAGCUCCAAAUGAACAAUCAACGCG